UACGUAGGUGGCAAGCGUUACUCGGAAUCACUAGGCGUAAAGCGCAGGUAGGUGGCUUGAUAAGUCUAUUGUGAAAGCUCCCGGCUUAACUGGGAGAGGUCAAUGGAUACUGUUAGGCUUGAGUGUGGUAGGGGAAACUGGAAUUCCUGGUGUAGCGGUGAAAUGCGUAGAUAUCAGGAGGAACACCUAAGGCGAAAGCAGGUUUCUGGGCCAACACUGACACUGAGCUGCGAAAGCUAGGGGAGCAAACAGG
This 253-nucleotide ribosomal RNA is filed under the name uncultured bacterium. RNAcentral describes it as "partial 16S ribosomal RNA". It matches the Rfam family "Bacterial small subunit ribosomal RNA", at positions 524 to 776 of the family's 1533-position model. The record is from RNAcentral.